Molecule: ribosomal RNA, 253 nt
Filed under: uncultured bacterium
Lineage: Bacteria
Description: partial 16S ribosomal RNA
Rfam family: Bacterial small subunit ribosomal RNA
Source: RNAcentral
UACGGAGGGGGCUAGCGUUGUUCGGAAUGACUGGGCGUAAAGGGCGCGUAGGCGGCGAUCCAAGUUAGAUGUGAAAGGCCUGGGCUCAACCCGGGAACUACAUUUGAUACUGGAUUGCUUGAGUCCGGGAGAGGAUGGCGGAAUUCCCAGUGUAGAGGUGAAAUACGUAGAGAUUGGGAAGAACACCAGUGGCGAAGGCGGCUAUCUGGACGGUUUCUGACGCUAAGACGCGAAAGCGUGGGGAGCAAACAGG